GUUUGACUGGGGCGGUCUCCUCCCAAAGAGUAACGGAGGAGCACGAAGGUGGGCUAAACACGGUUGGACAUCGUGUGGUUAGUGCAAUGGCAUAAGCCCGCUUGACUGCGAGAAUGACAAUUCGAGCAGGUGCGAAAGCAGGUCAUAGUGAUCCGGUGGUUCUGAAUGGAAGGGCCAUCGCUCAACGGAUAAAAGGUACUCCGGGGAUAACAGGCUGAUACCGCCCAAGAGUUCAUAUCGACGGCGGUGUUUGGCACCUCGAUGUCGGCUCAUCACAUCCUGGGGCUGAAGUCGGUCCCAAGGGUAUGGCUGUUCGCCAUUUAAAGUGGUACGCGAGCUGGGUUUAGAACGUCGUGAGACAGUUCGGUCCCUAUCUGCCGUGGGCGUUGGAAAAUUGAAAGGGGCUGCUCCUAGUACGAGAGGACCGGAGUGGACGAACCUCUGGUGUUCGGGUUGUCAUGCCAAUGGCAUUGCCCGGUACCUAAGUUCGGAAUCGAUAACCGCUGAAAGCAUCUAAGCGGGAAGCGAGCCUUGAGAUGAGUUUUCCCUGACGCUAUAAGCGUCCUAAAGGGUUGUCGUAGACUACGACGUUGAUAGGCAGGGUGUGUAAGUGCUGCGAGGCAUUGAGCUAACCUGUACUAAUUGCCCGUGAGGCUUAACCAUACAACACCCAAGGGGUUU
This 681-nucleotide ribosomal RNA is filed under the name Vibrio sp. 10N.286.51.C3. Its description in RNAcentral is "bacterial LSU rRNA". It matches the Rfam family "Bacterial large subunit ribosomal RNA", at positions 2268 to 2925 of the family's 2925-position model. Lineage: Bacteria; Pseudomonadati; Pseudomonadota; Gammaproteobacteria; Vibrionales; Vibrionaceae. The record is from RNAcentral.